RNAcentral lists this ribosomal RNA (255 nucleotides) under Desulfallas sp. Bu1-1. RNAcentral's name for it is "partial 23S ribosomal RNA". It matches the Rfam family "Bacterial large subunit ribosomal RNA", at positions 2754 to 2925 of the family's 2925-position model. The record is from RNAcentral. Lineage: Bacteria; Bacillati; Bacillota; Clostridia; Eubacteriales; Desulfallaceae.
UCCGGACGGGAUAAGCGCUGAAGGCAUCUAAGCGCGAAGCCCCCCUCCAGAUAAGGUUUCCCACCUUCUCGAGGUUCGAGGUUCGAAGUUGGAGGUUCGAAUCUAAAAAAAGAAAAGAAAAUAAAGUCUCGAACAUCGAAUUUCGAACCUCGAGAAGGGUAAGACCCCUGGUAGACUACCAGGUAGAUAGGCCGGGCGUGUAAGUCCCGUGAGGGAUUGAGCGGACCGGUACUAAUCGGUCGAGGGCUUGACCUG